This 1045-nucleotide ribosomal RNA is filed under the name Labidostomis lusitanica. RNAcentral's name for it is "16S ribosomal RNA". It matches the Rfam family "Bacterial large subunit ribosomal RNA", at positions 714 to 2696 of the family's 2925-position model. The record is from RNAcentral. Lineage: Eukaryota; Metazoa; Arthropoda; Insecta; Coleoptera; Chrysomelidae.
CCCGAAUCUUGAAGAGCUAUUGGUUUAUUUUUUUAAUGUAUCAUAAUUAUUGUUAAUUGAUCAGUAGGGGCGAAACGUUAUUCGUUUUAAGAUAUAUCUGGUUCUUUAAGAAAUAGAUUUAAUCUAGCCGUAUAAAAGUAGUUGAUUAAUUUAUAGUUUUCUAUUUUAUUCAGGUAAGCCGUUUGGGGAUAAGCUCUAAUGGUAAGUUUUAUUUAAUUGUAAAUUUGCUGAAUGCGUAGGGAUAGAAAUUUUCAUCGUUAGUAGUUUGUUAUAAUUAAUUUGGCUAAAGAUAUGAUUUUUAUAGUUAAUAAUUUAUUUAUUAAAGUAUUAAGUUUAACUUUUUAAUUUAAGAAAUAAUGAUAAAAUUAGUAUAUUUAUUUGUAGAUUUAAAUCUAGUUGGCUGGAGCAUUAAAGGAAUUCGGCAACUAUGCUCUUCACCUGUUUAUUAAAAACAUGUCCUUUUGAUUAUUAUUUAAGGUCGGGCCUGCCCAAUGAGGAUUUGAAUGGCCGCAGUAAUUUGACUGUGCUAAGGUAGCAUAAUCAUUAGUUUCUUAAUUAGGAACUGGAAUGAAAGGUUUGAUGAGGGAGCAACUGUCUCUAAUGUUUGUCUAGAAUUUUAUUUUUAAGUAAAAAAGCUUAAAUUUUGUUGAAAGACGAGAAGACCCUAUAGAGUUUAAUAGAUUAAUUUUUUACACAUUUUUGUAAGUUAUUUGGUGUGAUAUUUUGAUUUAUUUGGUUGGGGUGAUUGUAAAAUUGGCUGAACUUUUACUUGAAUACGCUCACUGAUGUGUGUCUAGAUGAUCCAAUGAUUUUGAUUAUAAGAAUAAAUUACCUUAGGGAUAACAGCGUAAUCUUUUUUUAGAGUUCUAAUCGAUAAAAGGGAUUGCGACCUCGAUGUUGGAUUAAAAUUUACUUAGGGUGCAAUAGCUUUAAAGUUGGGUCUGUUCGACCUUUAAAAUUUUACAUGAUCUGAGUUUAAACCGGCGUGAGCCAGGUUGGUUUCUAUCUUCAAUUCUUUUUGAGGCCCUAGUACGAAAGGACCGGG